UGCCAAAGUUCAUAUUUUUUUGGUUGUAACUCGGCGGUAAAAAGAGAGUACUCUGAAUACAAACGUUUAUUUAAUAGUAACUCUUGGACGUUCAAGAGCAAACAAAGCACAACUUGUAUUAACUUUGAAUUGAACGUAAAUAGAGAGCCACAACGGGCGUCGGCGAGUUUUGAGGGUCCCGAGAAGCAGUUCUUCCUCUACUUACAGAACGUGUACCACGCGACCGCGACCGACGCAAUAGUAACGCGGGAUUCAUUCAUAAGAUCCUCAGGUAGGAACCAAGAGCUGGACGGUCAGGUAUUCGUAAUUAAGUUUUUUUCUUCUUCGCCGCAGCGACUACGAAUGGAUCCACCGCAGCACGCAGGAUGGCCGCCACGUAAGGCUGGAUACCGGAUGAAGAAUUGACGUGAAGAAACUCUUCGGGGGCUGCUUCACAUUUUUCAAUGGAUAGAUUCCGGGGGCGACCUCGCAUCAUGGCAAGGUCGUUCAACGUAUAGACGAAAAUUAUUUGGAGAUUGUAGUGACAGGCACAGGAUGUUUAGCUUUGGAAGGUGCUAAUUUUGUGGUAUUUUGGUUCGCAAACUAGUACGAUGUAAUUUUUUGUUUUAUUGCGACGUUAAUUUUCUACGUAGUAUGAUGACUAAGAAAUUACGAGAGCAGUUAAGAAAAGUUCUCGAAUUUCACAACAAAUGUGUUUUAAAUAUAAACAAUUAGUUCUUCUUAUUGUUGGAUGAGGAAAUCUUAAUAUUGCAACAGAUUAGUACGUUUUCUGAAAAUGAUUUGUUUUCUGGUUUUUAUCGCUCUACAACUUUACGGACAUUACCGUUAUCUUUAUAACGUAAUAACUACCUAUCUUCUUUCUAGCUAAACGAAUAUGAACUUAAUAGAGUUUUAAUGUUAGCAAACUUUAAGUAUCAAGUGAGGUAAUGCUAAAUAGAGUUAUAAACCAUAAAAAGUAAUAGAUUUGAUCUUUAACCCGACCAAUUAAAUUCUAAUACUUAAAUUGCUUAUUUUUUCAUAUAAUUUUCUCGAAACAACUUCUGUAUAAACUAUUAAUCUUUAAAAUUACGACAAUGACGACCAAUUUUCUAUACAAAACGGCACUUGUAGUGUGUAAAUUGGAGUUGAACGUCGUCGAUACGUCUCUCGGUAGCAAUCAGCUAACGACCGCAUCUCGUCUCGAAUUCCAGGGAACUUUCUUUCGGUCCGUAGCACGAAAGCAAAUAGUUCCACGUCUCAAUUAUAGCCCAUCACGCGCGUUCCUUAAAGCGAACCGAUCGACAAUGAACGUUUUUCUUCUUCCAGAGUCCAGCGGCGGCACCGGCACGAACGAAUACAUCUUCUCUCUCCGCUUUUCAUUCUGCGGCCGCCAACGUCGUGACGUCCGUAAUGGAUCGCCCCGUGUGCACCGGGAAACAUUCCGGGGAUUCUUCAGCCCGCGGGUCGUGUGCCCGAUUGUGACCUCUCCGAAAUCCGACCGGACUCGAGAUGCUGUGGAAACGAGCGGACUCGAUUGACGUCUUUCUCUUCAUCUCUCGCCGGUUGAGAUGAGUUCGCUUUAUAUCCUUUUCUUCAUUCUUCACUUUUCUCAGAAUACGUAAAACGUCCGAGAAUUUUUGAUUUACAUUUAUUUGACGUUUUCUCUUGUUUUGUUAUGGUUGGCUGACUUUACGACUUACUGGUUUCAUGUCAGCCUAUACUUUAACUUAAGAUUACAUUUAUUUUCUUUUAGAAAAAGUUUUUAUGGAUGGUUUAGAAUGUCAAAUUAGAUUAGAAUCCAACUAAUUAACAAUAACUCAUUUAUGACUCUUUAUUAUUUUUAUCUUCAACGACAUUUCCUUUUUGCUGUUUGGAUUUUUAGAUCUAAUAACACUAUAAUAAGAUAGCACAUUGUGAUUCUCAACUAGUCUCAUUGUCAAAGAUGUUGUUUUAGGACCAACAACGUGAUCUAAUCUUUGUUUUCUAUGUAAGUCAAUAACUGUUCAGAAUCUCUUAGACACAAUUGUUGCUUUGGAAGGUGCUUUCAGUUGGAUUUUGACAACUUAUUUAGUACGGGUGGCGGAACUGGUUUUGUAACUUUAAAGAAAGGAAAGAAUAGAUAAGAAUAGCAAAAAACUGGAAACAUUUGGAAAUUUCUAUGUUCAGCAGUGGAUACAACUGGAACAAAAAAAGGAUAAGAUUAAGGCGAUAGAAAAGAAUUUUUUGACAAAUUGAUUGCCAAAAAUCAACUCGCUCAUAAUUUUUUAGGAAAAUAAAAAUAUUUUAAAACGAGACCACCUUUUAACAUCGGCCAGAAAGGAUUGGGGUUUACGACUUAAUAAAAAAUGUUCUGAGGAAAUAACUGUUGUGCAUUCUUGUAACGUUGAUCGUGUAGCUUGAUUUACCAGAAACGAUUUAAAAAAAUUUUUAAUAAUAAACAACCAUACUGAAUAAACUUACAUUUACAAUUCUUACAUAUUAGGUAACAAGCUUUUGAGAGAUUUUUGAGACUUGACAGAAUGCGCUUAAAGGAUGUCUUAGAAAUAAUGAAAAUAAAAGGACUAAACCAUAAGCUAAUUAAUCUAAAAUACAACAUUAAUACUCAAACAAAAAAAAAUCAGAGUAGGACAUAUGACAACAAAAAAUAUAUAUGUAAACACAGGGAUUAGACACGGCGACUCAUGCAGCCCCAUCAUAGUAUUUAAUCUGAUAAUGGAUAAAAUAAAAGAAAACCUUCCCAGAACAGCUGGAUUCUAGAAACACAUUCUUCCAUGCCGUCUGCUACGCUGAUGAUGCUGCCCUUGUUGUAGAUUCUGAGAACAACCUCCAAAGGUUAAUACAUUCUUUUAACACUAAAGCAAAAAAAUGAUAUAUGCUCAUCAACACCGAGAAGACCAAAUACUUAUAAGAUGUAAGCUGGAUAUCGACUCCAAGGCUGUCAAUUCGGUAAAUCGCUUCAAAUAUUUGAAGGCAGAAAUAACGAGGCACGAAAAUCUUUCUAACGAAUUGAAAGAGUAAACAAUGAAAGCGGCUCGAAUUUCGGGAUGCUUGCGAAAGAUUGUUUUUAAGAUCACAUACAAAAAGGUAAAUUAAGAUAUAUAAAACAGCUGUAAGACAUAUCAUAGCAUACAUGGCAAAGACAAGACCAGAUACAAGCAAGACUCUACAAAUGAUGAUAAUACUCAAAAGAUCACAGAGAAGAUGACCAAAACGAUGACAAGAAUGUUGAACCUCAUUUUUUGGAGACGACGUGUUGGCAACGAACAGGCCGAAGCAAUAUGGAUAUCCAUAUUAGAAAGAAGAAGUAUGUGACACGACGACCGAAGAAUAUCUUAAGAGACUAAAGAACAAUAAUCUUUUUUGCAAACUUUUCCAUUGGGCAGGUACGCUAGUAAUGAUUUAAAGGACCAGAUACAAUGAAGAUGGGUCUUCAGAAAAAUCAAUGUUGGACUGGCGAGUUGAUCAUUAAAAGAAAUGAUAUAUAGUUAAAAUUAGAAACAAUUAAAUUUAUCCUAUCCAUUGGUAUUUAAAUUUCACAUAUAAAUUGAGAAAUAAAUCUUAAUGUAAAUCUUUUGAUUAGGAGUUGAUUGGUUUACAUAAAUAAGUUUCUCACGGUGAAUAGUUAAAGAUAUCUUUGAAAUGGGUUUCUUAAAACUAGAUUGUCAAAGUAAUGCAAUUAAUAUAAGUGACAGUGGAAUGUCGAUUUGACAGCUGCAAGCGGUGCGGCGCCCCUAACAUAGGCGGAAACGUAGAUUUCAAUUUUAUGCUAAUUACGUUGCUAACGUGUAUACGUUAGCGGAGUGCGGAUGCCAUUCCGAAGUGGACGGAUAUUAAUUGCCGUACUUAAUCAGCGUCCAUUGUGCGUGCUCUCGUACAAGUCGUUGCUUAAGUGGUCGACGUACUAAACGGAUUUAAUGCCGCGGUACUGUGCGAUGAUGUGUCCUGCUUAAUUUAGGUGAUCUGAAUAGCUCCUCGAUAUUUCAUAACAACCCAAACGGCGCGGUGCCGAAAAGGAUCGCGACCGUAACAUUUCCGGUAUUUUUAACCGAGUUCAUCUUGAAUCAUUGCGGCGGUAAAAUUCUUUAUUGUUUGCAAUUAGCACUGAAAACUGCGACGACACACUUUGAUGGCAGUAGACAUCGUCAAUAAAAACAAUAAAAAUCAACUUGCGUUAUUUUUAGCAAAAAUAUCAUUGUUAUUGAAUUGAUGGUCGCUGAUGAAAAAUGUUCUACUUCUAACAAUAUACAGUUAGCUAUUUAUACAAUCCCAUGUUUAGAAUGUCCGGGGCAAAGUGGCUGUGCUCACCGGUUAAUUACCAAUUAAAGCGUCGGAAAACUGCAUCUCGUGCAGUAAUGCACGGAAAUAUUGCUUGCGCUUCCUUGCUGCGAUUAAAAGGUUGUUAUUUCUAAUUACUCAGGCUUAUACAGGAGCCGACUGUAAUCGUUAAGAGGAUGUUUAUGGCAGCCGAUCCCCAAACCAUUCCCGACUCCAAUAAUCCUCUAAAAUAUGCAAUGCUACGAAACAACGUUCGGAUUUAGCGAGAACAAAUCGCAGAAAACAUGGAGCUAAACGUUCAUUAUUAAUUAUAAAAGGGUCAAGAUCGUAAUGUACCGAUUAUAGCUCAUAAAUUGUGGUCAAGAAAUUAAAUUUUUGUUUUUCGUUUUCUGAACAACAAUAAUACUAUGAAAUAAUACUCUUUGUAAGAUAAAUAAUAGGAGAUAAUGAAUUGUUAUGGUUCGUAAUUGCUGUGUUAGCAAUUUCUAGAACUUCUCUGUAAAAUAUUGGAAAUAAUAAAGUGACAAAAAUACCAGGAAA
Molecule: non-coding RNA, 4794 nt
Organism: Onthophagus taurus
Lineage: Eukaryota; Metazoa; Arthropoda; Insecta; Coleoptera; Scarabaeidae
Source: RefSeq, a predicted model, not a curated record